UGGGGAAUUUUGCGCAAUGGGGGAAACCCUGACGCAGCAACGCCGCGUGAAGGAUGAAGGUCUUUGGAUUGUAAACUUCUUUCGUCCGGGAAGAUAAUGACGGUACCGGAAUAAGAAGCCCCGGCUAACUUCGUGCCAGCAGCCGCGGUAAUACGAAGGGGGCGAGCGUUGUUCGGAAUUAUUGGGCGUAAAGGGAGCGUAGGCGGUUCGAUAAGUCACUUGUGAAAUCUCUGGGCUCAACCCAGAGUCUGCAAGCGAAACUGUCGGGCUUGAGUAUGGGAGAGGUGAGUGGAAUUCCUGGUGUAGCGGUGAAAUGCGUAGAUAUCAGGAGGAACACCUGUGGCGAAAGCGGCUCACUGGACCAUUACUGACGCUGAGGCUCGAAAGCUAGGGGAGCAAACAGGAUUAGAUACCCCCGUAGUCC
Molecule: ribosomal RNA, 424 nt
Filed under: uncultured bacterium
Lineage: Bacteria
Description: bacterial SSU rRNA
Rfam family: Bacterial small subunit ribosomal RNA
Source: RNAcentral